UCCGAAUUAGUUUAGUGGCCAUGACGGUGCCUUGUCAGUACGUCCUCCGCGUUUCCCAAGACGGCGCAGACCCGGGUUCGAUUCCCGGAUUCGGAG
This 96-nucleotide transfer RNA is filed under the name Pseudozyma flocculosa. It matches the Rfam family "tRNA". From Rfam's summary of the family: Transfer RNA (tRNA) molecules are approximately 80 nucleotides in length. Their secondary structure includes four short double-helical elements and three loops (D, anti-codon, and T loops). RNAcentral also lists the same sequence under 1 other name. The record is from Rfam by way of RNAcentral. Lineage: Eukaryota; Fungi; Basidiomycota; Ustilaginomycetes; Ustilaginales; Ustilaginaceae.